Molecule: ribosomal RNA, 419 nt
Filed under: bacterium
Lineage: Bacteria
Description: partial 16S ribosomal RNA
Rfam family: Bacterial small subunit ribosomal RNA
Source: RNAcentral
UGGGGGAUAUUGCACAAUGGGCGAAAGCCUGAUGCAGCGACGCCGCGUGGGGGAUGAAGGCCUUCGGGUUGUAAACUUCUUUUGCUCUGAACAAGGCGCACCAUGGGGUGUGUUGAGUGUAGGGGUUGAUUAGCGCCGGCUAACUACGUGCCAGCAGCCGCGGUAAUACGUAGGGCGCGAGCGUUGUCCGGAAUUAUUGGGCGUAAAGGGCUUGUAGGUGGCUGGUUGCGUCUGUCGUGAAAGCUCAUGGCUUAACUGUGGGUUUGCGGUGGGUACGGGCUGGCUUGAGUGCAGUAGAGGAGGCUGGAAUUCCUGGUGUAGCGGUGGAAUGCGCAGAUAUCAGGAGGAAUACCGGUGGCGAAGGCGGGUCUCUGGGCUGUUACUGACACUGAGGAGCGAAAGCAUGGGGAGCGAACAGG